GAUGUCUGAUCCAUUUUAAAACUGCAUUCAAAGGCUUGUAAUUUAUUACAAGCCUGGGUGUACCUCGUUCCUUUUCUGCGCUGUUAUUUACAUAAAAGGCAGAACAGCUCCAAGGAGAAUUAGAGGGUCUGAUAAUCCCAUUUUCUAAUAAAUGGUUUAUCUCAUUUUUGCAGAUGUCCAUCAUUUCUUGGUUCAUUUGAAUGGGUCUCGUCUUAGUAGGGAUAGCCUGUUCAUUGAAUCUAGUAAUGUAGGGAAGUUCUACUAAAUGCCUCUUUCUUUCCCAAAAUGCAUUAGGAAAUUCAGAACAAACUUCUUUUUCGAAAGUUUUUUGAAGAUUGGCAAUUUUACUCACCAUCUCCGGGGUUUUUAAAAUUUGUUCAAUUUUCUUUAUUUGAAUUUCUUGCUUAAGAAAACAAAUAUGUGAAGAAAGUUUGUUAAUUUUAAAAGCAGUUCUUUCUUUAAUAAGGUUACCUUCUUCUUGUGAGAGGGGCCUUAAUAAAGGGAAGAAUAGAUUUUGACUUAAUAUCGUCGUGCGAAUUCCAUCAAAAUUACUUGUGUAAGGAUGAAUUUGAUUAACAAAAGGUAUUCCAAGAAUGAUAUCUUAAGUGAUGCCUUCAGUAAUGACAAAAUCAUUGACAAGACAAAUGCCACUGUUGCAGAUAUGGGCUUUUUUCCUAUGUUUAUUACUAAAUGGAGAAGAAAGGUUAGCAAAUCCAAAAUAUUGACAGAAGGUUCCUAACCCGUAUUUGGAAGAACUUUCACUCUUAAGUUGCUUCUUAAGUUUUAGGUCUGUGCAGAGGUCUAUCCUUACGGUGGUGAUGAAACUUAUGAUGUCUCUAUAAGUUAAAAUUUCAUAAGGGAUUUUUCCUUCGAACCUAUCUUUGAUUUUGGUUCUAUCUUUGUCUGCGAAUAGGGGAGGGAGACCACUAAUGAAAUGUUCUUUCCAAAAGUCAUUGUUACAAUCAGGUCUAAUCAUAAUUUUGACUAAGAAGGUAUCUUUAUACCACCUAAAGUCUGCUAAAUCCUUGCAGGUGAGGUUGUUAAGAAUUUCAAGGCUCCUAUCUUGAAAUAACUUGGACUCUCCUAUAAAAUGUCUAGCUAUAUGAUAUAGGAGGGUAGCACAGGCGUCUUCUUUCGCAACUUGCUCAAGGGUUUCUUGUCCACUUUCACUCUUGACAAUAACGGUUUUCAUGGCCGUGGCCUCAUAGAUAAGGCUCUUAACUUCAUCUGUGAAAUAGUUUUCCCACCAAUGCUUUAUCAUACCAGUGAUCCUGAUACAAUCAUGGUGGCUGCUUCUUUGUCAGAAGCUCCUCUGAUUUUAUAAGCCGUAAUAGUGACGCCCAUUACAUGGAGUUUGUUAUAGAUUUGGUGUUCUGCCAAUCCAUCAACAUUCCGUUCAGUGAUGCCUCUACCAUCAUGGUUUGAGGUGGAGAAGUAAGGGUUUUCCUCAAACUAGACGUCUGGAGGAGAGGGUCAUUUGUAGUAGUUUUUCUUGGUAGAAAAAUGUUCAUUGGUAAGUUUUGAAAGGGAGUUCUUAUCCUUUGGGGUUCUAGAUUCGCCUUUCUCCUUUUCAGAUAGGCUAAACCUGGAGAGUUUCUCAUUGAUUUGUUCUAGGAUUUUCCCUGAAACUUUGAAGUCAUUGCUGAGAGUAGGGAAUUUCUCCUUUUAGAAUUUUGGAAUUUUAAAGAUAGGAUUGGUAGUUAGACUAGGGCCUGGAAUACUCUUCUUAGGAGUGGGUGAGCUGAAAGGAAUUUUUGUGCAUUUAGCAUCAUCUAUUUGACGGGAGAUAGUAUGAAGGACCUGAUUAGUAUAGUUGUUUUGUUCAACUAUCCGAUCCAGGUCUCUGUUGACAGGGGCUGAUAGGGGUCUAGCGUGCUUCUUCUUGAAGGGAGAAGCAUUGAGAAUUUUUUUGGAAUGGGGAAUUUUUAUUCCUUUAAGGGGAGGAGUAACUGAUUCAAUUACUUUGUUACUCUGAGUAUACCAUUUAUUAAUGAUAACUUGAAUGGAUUGAUUUUGGUUUUCCAUUCUUCCAGUGAAUUCAAACCACCUAAAGAAUUCGAUGUCGCAUCGAAGUCUUUUCAUAUCAGCUAUCCAGAGUCUGCCAAACUUUUUUUGUUGAUCCUUAGAAUAGGUACUGGUGUACCACUUUCUUUUUAACGCAUCUUUAGGAAGAUACCAGAGGACCUCAAGAGCUUUGAGGUCUGGAGUAUACUCAUCAUUAGAUUUGAUGACCUCUAAUCCUGGGUCAGUUCUAAUCUUUUGAUGAGGUAUGGUGGGGGAAGGUUCCAUGUCCGAGGCUGUAGGGCUACCUGGAUCAUAGAGAUUUUCGGAUUCUAGGGAUUGUUGAAUCCUAGUAUGUUGCUGGUAAUAUACUUUGGGAACAGGACCAGAGAAGUCAACUCCUCUAACUUUUCCCUUGUCAUUAUCAUUUUCUUCACUUCCUCACCAUCUUCAGGGUUUUUAAAAUUUAUUCAAUUUUCUUUAUUUGAAUUUCUUGCUUAAGAAAACAAAUAUGUAAAGAAAGUCUGUUAAUUUUAAAAGCAGUUCUUUCUUUAAUAAGGUUACCUUCUUCUUGUGAGAGGGGCCUUAAUA
Molecule: long non-coding RNA, 2592 nt
Filed under: Capsicum annuum
Lineage: Eukaryota; Viridiplantae; Streptophyta; Magnoliopsida; Solanales; Solanaceae
Description: long non-coding RNA (CANN_LNC002057)
Source: RNAcentral